CCUACGGGAGGCAGCAGUGGGGAAUAUUGCACAAUGGGCGAAAGCCUGAUCCAGCAACGCCGCGUGAGCGAUGAAUGCCUUCUGGUCGUAAAGCUCUGUCCUCAAGGAAGUUAAUGACGGUACUUGUGGAGGUAGCCCCGGCUAACUACGUUCCAGCAGCCGCGGUAAUACGUAGGGGGCUAGCGUUAUCCGGAAUUACUGGGCGUAAAGGGUGCGUAGGUGGUUUCUUAGGUCAGAGGUGAAAGGCUACGGAUCAACCGUAGUAAGCCUUUGAAACUGGGGAACUUGAGUGCAGGAGAGGAAAGUGGAAUUCGUGGUGUAGCGGUGAAAUGCGUAGAUAUUAGGAGGAACACCAGUUGCGAAGGCGGCUCUCUGGACUGUAACUGACACUGAGGCACGAAAGCGUGGGGAGCAAACAGGAUUAGAUACCCCUGUAGUC
RNAcentral lists this ribosomal RNA (439 nucleotides) under uncultured bacterium. RNAcentral's name for it is "partial 16S ribosomal RNA". It matches the Rfam family "Bacterial small subunit ribosomal RNA", at positions 338 to 795 of the family's 1533-position model. The record is from RNAcentral.